Molecule: long non-coding RNA, 527 nt
Organism: Hemicordylus capensis (graceful crag lizard)
Lineage: Eukaryota; Metazoa; Chordata; Lepidosauria; Squamata; Cordylidae
Exons: 3
Source: RefSeq, a predicted model, not a curated record
CUCGCGUCCUCCUGCCCAUAUUUCACCCGUGACGUGGCAGUGUGCGACUGGGUUUUGGAGACGAAAAAAAUGAAGGGACUGUUGUUGUUUUUUGCCGGGGGGAGCGGGGAGGUAUUCAAUGAAAUGCAUUUUAAUUAUUUUGUUUUAACUCAGCAAGGAGGAAUGAAAUUCCAGCCAGGCCAGGAAAAUUCUGCCUAUAUUAAUCCUGCUACACAUUCCUGUGCUGCUGCCAGGCAAUAGAAGGACACCAACAAAAGCAUUCUGAAAAACCUUUUACCUACUUUGAUGGCAAGAUGAUCAAAGAGCUCCUUGUCCGUCCCCCCCACCUUCCUAUAAGAUAUCUUCAUAGUUAAGCAACAAAAUUAGUUUCAAAGAAGGACUGUGCCCAAGAACUAUUCCAUGCAUGCAUUUUGCCGUGUACACAUGCAUACAUGCGCAUGUGUUUUGCAUGAAGGAUUAAUGCCUGAUCACUAUUUUCUUUUACAUUUUCUUUUCAUUAAAAUAAACAUAUAAAACCAUCAAUAAAA